Molecule: ribosomal RNA, 3216 nt
Filed under: Ipomoea nil (Japanese morning glory)
Lineage: Eukaryota; Viridiplantae; Streptophyta; Magnoliopsida; Solanales; Convolvulaceae
Description: Eukaryotic large subunit ribosomal RNA
Rfam family: Eukaryotic large subunit ribosomal RNA
Source: Rfam by way of RNAcentral
CGACCCCAGGUCAGGCGGGAUUACCCGCUGAGUUUAAGCAUAUCAAUAAGCGGAGGAAAAGAAACUUACAAGGAUUCCCCUAGUAACGGCGAGCGAACCGGGAACAGCCCAGCCUUAGAAUCGGACGGCCUUGCCGUUCGAAUUGUAGUCUGGAGAAGCGUCCUCAGCGGCGGACCGGGCCCAAGUCCCCUGGAAAGGGGCGCCGGAGAGGGUGAGAGCCCCCGUUGUGCCCGGACCUGUCGCACACGAGGCGCUGUCUACGAGUCGGGUUGUUUGGGAAUGCAGCCCCAAUCGGGCGGUGAAUUCCGUCCAAGGCUAAAUACGGGAGAGACGAUAGCGAACAAGUACCGGCGAGGAAAGAUGAAAAGGACUUUGAAAAGAGAGUCAAAGAGUGCUUGAAAUUGUCGGGAGGGAAGCGGAUGGAGACCGGCGAUGCGCCCCGGUAGUAUGUGGAACGGUGAGAGCCGGUCCGCCCGAUCUACUCGGGGCGCAGACCAGCGAGGAUUCGGGGGGCGGCCCAAAGCCCGGGGCCUUUGAUACGUCGCCGCGAACGUCGUCCUGUGGAUCGUCGGGAAGCACGCGCGGCGCCCCUGCGUGCCUCGGCACCUGCGCGCUCCUGUCGUGGCCUGUGGCUCUCCAUCGACCCGUCUUGAAACACGGCAAGCAUCUGAACAUGUGUACGAGUCAAACGGCGCGAGUAAACCCGUAAGGCGCAAGGAAGCUUGAAUUGGCGGGAUUCCCCUCACGGGCGGUGCACCGCGACCGACCUUGAUCUUUGAGAAGGUUCGAGUCGAGCAUACCUGUCGGACCGAAAUGGUGAACUAGCCUGAGCGGGGCGAAGCCAGAGGGAAACUCUGGUGGAGCCCGCAGCGCAUACUGACGUUGCAAAAUCGUUGCGUCUGACUUGGUAAUAGGGGCGAAAGACUAAUCAACCGUUCUAAUAGCUGGUUCCCUCCGAAGUUUCCUCAUGAUAGCUGGAGCUGGCGCUAGAAGGUUCUAUCGGCGGUGGUAAAGCAAUGAUUAGAGGCAUCGGGCGUAACGCCCUCGACCUAUUCUCAAACUAGUUAACUAAGUAGGACGGCGCGGCUGCUUCGUGAGCCGGCGCCACGCGAAUCAGAACAGCUCCAAAGUGGGCCAUUUUGGUAAGCAGAACUGGGCGAUGCGGGAUGAACCGGAAAGCCGGGUUACGGUGCCCAAGCUGCGCGCCUAACCAGUCCAGCAAAGGGUGUUGGUCGAUUUUAAAGACGAGCCAGACGGUGUCUGGAAUCGAAAGCGCUAAGGUAGUGUUGAACAACUCACCUUGCCGAAAUCAAACUAGCCCCGAAACAAUGUGAUGGCGGCUUAAGCGCGCGACCCUAUACCGCGCCGUCGGGCCCAAUGAGCUAGGCCCCGAUGAGUGAGGAGGCGCGGGCGGACGCCUGCAAAGCCUUAGGGCGCAGCCCGCGGCGGCGGCCUACGGUGCAGAUCUUGGUGGUAGAUUAGAAAUAUUCAAAUGCACAACUUUGAAGGCCGAAGAGUGGAAAGUCCAUGGAACGGCACUUGCACAUGGGUUAGUCGAUCCUAAGGUCGGCGGAGCCGACAGACAGCGCGUUUCGCUGUGCGCCGAAAGGGGAAUCGCGACGUAUAAAAUUCACUGAACCGGGAUCGUGCGGUUGACGGCCAACUUAGCGGAUCCGCGAAGACGUCGGCGGGGGCCGGAAUGAGUUAUCUUUUCUGUUAACAGCGGUGUUUUUCCACCCUGGAAACGCUCAGCGGAUGUUAGGGUCAGCGGCUGGAAAGAGCCCACCACACGUCGCGUGGGUGUCCGGUGCGGCCCCGGCGACCGGCCCUUGAAAAUUCCGAGACGAGUUGCCGUCACGCGCGCGUCGUACGUAUAACCGCCAUCAAGUCCCAAGUGGUGAACAAGCCUCUGGCCAAUGGAACAAUUAGGCAAAGGGAAGUCGGCAAAAUGGAUCCGUAACGAUCUGGGGAAAAGGAUUGGCUUCUGAGGGUCUGGGCCACGGGCGGAGGUCCAGUCCCGAACCCGUCGCGCUGUUCGGCGGACUGCUCGAAAGCUUACCGCGCGAGAGCGGGUGCGCUAUCGUGCCGGGCCGGGGACGACUUAGAACGGCUCUUUCGGGCCUUCCCCGGGCCGUCGAACAGCCAACUCAGAACUUACAGGACAAGGGGAAUCGACUGUUUAAUUAAAGACAAGAGCAUUGCAUGCUCCCUGCGGAUGCUAACGCAAUUCGUGAUUUCUUGCCAGUGCUUUCUGAUGUCAAGAGGAAGAAAUUCAACAAGCGCGGGUAAACGCGCUUCGGUGAGUAACUAUGCACUCUCUUAAGUAGCAAAAUGCCUGCGUUCAUCUAAUUAGUGACGCGCGAUGUCAAUGAUUAACGAGAUUCCCACUGUCCCGGUCUACUAUCCACGAAACCACAGCCAAGGCGAACGGGCUUGGCAGAAUCAGGGGGAAAGAAGACCCUUGUUGAGCUGGACUCUAUGUCGCGACUUUGUGAAAUGACUGAGAGUGUAGAAAGUGGCGAGCCGAAAAGGCGAGUGAAAAUCCACUACUUUAAACGUUAUUUUACUUAUUCGUGAAUCCCGGAGGCGGGCAUUGCCCCUCUUUUUGCGACCCAAGGCCUCGCUUGCGGCCUAUCCGGGCCGGAAGACAUUGUCAGGUGGGAGUUGGCUGGGCGGCACAUCUCUUAAAAGAUAACGCAGGGUCCUAAGAUGAGCUCAACGAACAGAAAUCUCGUCUGAACAGAAGGGUAAAAGCUCGUUUGAUUCUGAUUUCCAGUACGAAUACGAACUGUGAAAGCGUGGGCCUAACGAUCCCGUUUAGACCUUCGCCCGAAUUCGAAGCUAGAAGUUCAGAAAAGUUACCACAGCAUAAACUGCUUGUGGCAGCCAAGCGUUCAUAGCGAUCGUUGCCUUUUUGAUCCUCGAUGCGGCUCUUCUAUCAUUGCUUGAAGCGAAUUUCACCAAGUGUUGGAGUGUCACCCACCAAUAGGAACGUUCGACUGGGGUUUAGACCGUGUAGACAGGUUAGUUUACCCUACUGAUACAGUGCGCAAUAGUAAUUUCAACCUAGCUACGAGAGGAACCGUUGAUCGCCAACAAAGUUGUCAUCGCCGCUGUUGAAAAGCCAGUGGCGCGAAGUACCGGUACUGCGUUGGAUUUAUGACUGAACGCGCCUCUAAGUGUCAAAUCCGGGCUGUUCCUACGAGUCGGGUUUGU